RNAcentral lists this ribosomal RNA (514 nucleotides) under uncultured archaeon. Its description in RNAcentral is "bacterial SSU rRNA". It matches the Rfam family "Archaeal small subunit ribosomal RNA", at positions 345 to 859 of the family's 1478-position model. The record is from RNAcentral.
AACCUUUACAAUGUGCGAAAGCAUGAUAAGGGAACUCCGAGUGCCAGCAUCUAAUGUUGGCUGUCCUUGUGCCUAAAACGCACAAGAUAGCAAGGGCCGGGUAAGACCGGUGCCAGCCGCCGCGGUAACACCGGCGGCCCGAGUGGUAGCCGCUAUUAUUGGGUCUAAAGGGUCCGUAGCCGGUUCGAUAAGUCCUCUGGGAAAUCUGGUUGCUUAACAAUCAGACUGCCAAGGGAUACUGUCGAACUUGAGACCGGGAGAGGUAAGAGGUACUUCAGGGGUAGGAGUGAAAUCUUGUAAUCCCUGGGGGACCAUCUGUGGCGAAGGCGUCUUACCAGAACGGGUCUGACGGUGAGGGACGAAAGCUGGGGGCGCAAACCGGAUUAGAUACCCGGGUAGCCCCAGCCGUAAACGAUGCUCGCUAUGUGUCAGGUACGGUGUGACCGUAUCUGGUGCCGUAGGGAAGCCGUGAAGCGAGCCACCUGGGAAGUACGGCCGCAAGGCUGAAACUUAA